GCCCGAGUGGCGGAAUGGCAGACGCACUUGACUCAAAAUCAAGCGCCUUCGGGCGUGCCGGUUCGACCCCGGCCUCGGGCAC
This 82-nucleotide transfer RNA is filed under the name compost metagenome. RNAcentral describes it as "tRNA-Leu". It matches the Rfam family "tRNA". Rfam says of the family: Transfer RNA (tRNA) molecules are approximately 80 nucleotides in length. Their secondary structure includes four short double-helical elements and three loops (D, anti-codon, and T loops). Further hydrogen bonds mediate the characteristic L-shaped molecular structure. tRNAs have two regions of fundamental functional importance: the anti-codon, which is responsible for specific mRNA codon recognition, and the 3' end, to which the tRNAs corresponding amino acid is attached (by aminoacyl-tRNA synthetases). tRNAs cope with the degeneracy of the genetic code in two manners: having more than one tRNA (with a specific anti-codon) for a particular amino acid; and 'wobble' base-pairing, i.e. permitting non-standard base-pairing at the 3rd anti-codon position. The record is from RNAcentral.